CAGUCGCCACGGGAAUACGUAGGGUGCAAGCAUUAAUCGGAAUUACUGGGCGUAAAGCGUGCGCAGGCGGUCCGCUAAGACAGAUGUGAAAUCCCCGGGCUUAACCUGGGAACUGCAUUUGUGACUGGCGGGCUAGAGUAUGGCAGAGGGGGGUAGAAUUCCACGUGUAGCAGUGAAAUGCGUAGAUAUGUGGAGGAAUACCGAUGGCGAAGGCAGCCCCCUGGGAUAACGCUGACGCUCAUGCACGAAAGCGUGGGGAGCAAACAGGAUUAGAGACCCGCGUAGUCCCUGUCUCUUAUAC
Molecule: ribosomal RNA, 301 nt
Filed under: uncultured bacterium
Lineage: Bacteria
Description: partial 16S ribosomal RNA
Rfam family: Bacterial small subunit ribosomal RNA
Source: RNAcentral